UUGAAUCUAACGGCGAAUGAACCGAUCAUCUGUCUGUCCAUAUAGUUGGAAAAUGGAGACGUUCUCUGCCCCAAAACCCCCUUUAUUGAGGAAUUUACUAGUUGAAGAAUUGUUGUUGAGCAAAUGAAAUCAACCUGUCAGUGAUAUUAAAUUUUAUCACAUAUUCAUGUGUAUAGAUCUACUCCGAGUGGAAAUACUCUGAAUUGUUGUAUUUAGCUGAAUUGGGGUGACAAUACUGAGAUAAAAUGGCAAGAACUUCAAGCGAAAUAUUGGUGAAAAGUUUUCGUUAUGUCCAUAGAAAAGUUGUCCGGAAAAAACAGUGGCUAAUGCAAUAAUCGGAAACUGCGCAGGUCCUCCCGCGAUGCUGGCGUUUUUUUGCAAAUUCUACGAUUCCAUAUCCUAUCGGUUAUUCAUUAAGCAGAAAAAUUUCCCAAAUUUUCAACAUUACCACCAAAGAACUAUCCCAAUCCAAAGUUUUCAAGGACUACGGGAAUUACGGACAGUUUACUAUCAUCCGAAUGGAGACUAUUCUUUGUUCUGAGGGAUUUGUUACGUUGACCCUUGUUUAGACGGCAUAAAUACAUGACCAGGGCCAGCGUUUUCACCCCAGGUACUCCAGCGCCAUGUACCAGCAAGUGCGACGUAACAAUAACACCGAACUUUCAUUUGUAUAUUCAGUGCCAGGUAGUUAGCACCACAUAAUUGAAAAUUCAUUAGUUUUUUUAUUCAGGUCAAUAGUAGGACCUUUGUACAUCAUUGUAA
Molecule: long non-coding RNA, 762 nt
Organism: Fopius arisanus
Lineage: Eukaryota; Metazoa; Arthropoda; Insecta; Hymenoptera; Braconidae
Exons: 4
Source: RefSeq, a predicted model, not a curated record